AAGUCGAACGAACUCUGGUAUUGAUUGGUGCUUGCAUCAUGAUUUACAUUUGAGUGAGUGGCGAACUGGUGAGUAACACGUGGGAAACCUGCCCAGAAGCGGGGGAUAACACCUGGAAACAGAUGCUAAUACCGCAUAACAACUUGGACCGCAUGGUCCGAGCUUGAAAGAUGGCUUCGGCUAUCACUUUUGGAUGGUCCCGCGGCGUAUUAGCUAGAUGGUGGGGUAACGGCUCACCAUGGCAAUGAUACGUAGCCGACCUGAGAGGGUAAUCGGCCACAUUGGGACUGAGACACGGCCCAAACUCCUACGGGAGGCAGCAGUAGGGAAUCUUCCACAAUGGACGAAAGUCUGAUGGAGCAACGCCGCGUGAGUGAAGAAGGGUUUCGGCUCGUAAAACUCUGUUGUUAAAGAAGAACAUAUCUGAGAGUAACUGUUCAGGUAUUGACGGUAUUUAACCAGAAAGCCACGGCUAACUACGUGCCAGCAGCCGCGGUAAUACGUAGGUGGCAAGCGUUGUCCGGAUUUAUUGGGCGUAAAGCGAGCGCAGGCGGUUUUUUAAGUCUGAUGUGAAAGCCUUCGGCUCAACCGAAGAAGUGCAUCGGAAACUGGGAAACUUGAGUGCAGAAGAGGACAGUGGAACUCCAUGUGUAGCGGUGAAAUGCGUAGAUAUAUGGAAGAACACCAGUGGCGAAGGCGGCUGUCUGGUCUGUAACUGACGCUGAGGCUCGAAAGUAUGGGUAGCAAACAGGAUUAGAUACCCUGGUAGUCCAUACCGUAAACGAUGAAUGCUAAGUGUUGGAGGGUUUCCGCCCUUCAGUGCUGCAGCUAACGCAUUAAGCAUUCCGCCUGGGGAGUACGGCCGCAAGGCUGAAACUCAAAGGAAUUGACGGGGGCCCGCACAAGCGGUGGAGCAUGUGGUUUAAUUCGAAGCUACGCGAAGAACCUUACCAGGUCUUGACAUACUAUGCAAAUCUAAGAGAUUAGACGUUCCCUUCGGGGACAUGGAUACAGGUGGUGCAUGGUUGUCGUCAGCUCGUGUCGUGAGAUGUUGGGUUAAGUCCCGCAACGAGCGCAACCCUUAUUAUCAGUUGCCAGCAUUAAGUUGGGCACUCUGGUGAGACUGCCGGUGACAAACCGGAGGAAGGUGGGGAUGACGUCAAAUCAUCAUGCCCCUUAUGACCUGGGCUACACACGUGCUACAAUGGAUGGUACAACGAGUUGCGAACUCGCGAGAGUAAGCUAAUCUCUUAAAGCCAUUCUCAGUUCGGAUUGUAGGCUGCAACUCGCCUACAUGAAGUCGGAAUCGCUAGUAAUCGCGGAUCAGCAUGCCGCGGUGAAUACGUUCCCGGGCCUUGUACACACCGCCCGUCACACCAUGAGAGUUUGUAACACCCAAAGUCGGUGGGGUA
RNAcentral lists this ribosomal RNA (1412 nucleotides) under Lactiplantibacillus plantarum. RNAcentral describes it as "bacterial SSU rRNA". It matches the Rfam family "Bacterial small subunit ribosomal RNA", at positions 59 to 1437 of the family's 1533-position model. Lineage: Bacteria; Bacillati; Bacillota; Bacilli; Lactobacillales; Lactobacillaceae. The record is from RNAcentral.